This 792-nucleotide long non-coding RNA is filed under the name Monodelphis domestica (gray short-tailed opossum). RNAcentral describes it as "lncRNA (ENSMODG00000031452.2)". The record is from RNAcentral. Lineage: Eukaryota; Metazoa; Chordata; Mammalia; Didelphimorphia; Didelphidae.
UUUCUCGCCCCAGGACCUCCGUUUCCCCCCUCGCCACAGCUACCCUCCCCCCACUCCCAACGCUGCAGCUUCCAAAACCCGGAGACACGGAUUCCUGCGCACGCCCGGAAGCGCCCAGCGAGCCAGAGUAAGAGGGGAGGGGAACUAGAGGGAGAACCCCACGGAGCCGGCAGCACGGCGCAUGCGCCGAAGCUGGCCGGGGCUUUCGUCGCAACUAGGAAGCCGGAGCCCGGGAGCAGGAGCCCGGGAGCCGGAGCCGGGAGUCGGAGCCCGAGCCCGACCCGAGCAGCAGCGGAAGCGGCGCGUGCUGCGCCGCGGGAUGGGGAGCCUGUUGAGAGAGCUGGGGCGGUGGGGGGGAGGGGGGAGAGUCUGAGGCGGCCGCCCCUGGCGGCGGGUUUGUUUAUCCCGGGGAAGAAGUUUGGAAAGCCGGAGAGAGGGGACGAGGGAACGGGUGGGGAGGGAAGGAGGGAUGCAGUACGGCGGAGGCGGCCGCCGCCGGGACUCGCCGCCGUCACCUCCGCCGCCGCCUCCGCCUCCUCCCGCUCCUCAGGCCAUCUUCGCCGCCGCCGCCUCUUUCUCCUCUGCCGCCACCACCGCCGCCUCAGCAUGAGAGGAGCCGCCGCCGGGACGCCCUGCCACCCCCCGCUGCCAAGCCCGAAUCAUUACUGUAUUGCUUCUAAGGCAGAAGAGAGAGAUAAUGAACAUCUAGAAAGAGAAAUUGAUUCCAGAGAAGUAAUCUUGAUGGUUUCAGCAAGAACAGGAAAAGUACUGAAGUGCGGAUUACUGAGCUGA